GUCGAGUGCAACGAGGCUGCGAUCUUUUGAUUUUGAUUUUUAAGAAACAAGAUCAAAAGAUCGCAGCCUCGUUGCACUCGAC
Molecule: unclassified non-coding RNA, 82 nt
Filed under: Pseudomonas arsenicoxydans
Lineage: Bacteria; Pseudomonadati; Pseudomonadota; Gammaproteobacteria; Pseudomonadales; Pseudomonadaceae
Source: RNAcentral